GAUGUACUCCCUCCGUCCCGAAUUACUUGUCUUAGAUUUGUCUACAUACGGAUGUAUCGAGACACGUUUUAGUGUUAGAUACAUCCAUAUCUAGAGAAAUCUAAGAUAAGUAAUUUGGUACAGAAGUAAUACUUA
Molecule: non-coding RNA, 135 nt
Organism: Triticum urartu
Lineage: Eukaryota; Viridiplantae; Streptophyta; Magnoliopsida; Poales; Poaceae
Source: Rfam